This 66-nucleotide transfer RNA is filed under the name Stenobiella sp. YW-2016. RNAcentral describes it as "tRNA-Pro". Lineage: Eukaryota; Metazoa; Arthropoda; Insecta; Neuroptera; Berothidae. The record is from RNAcentral.
CAGAGAAUAGUUUAAUAAAAAUAAUAAUUUUGGAUAUUGUUGAUAAAGAGUAUUCUUUUUCUCUGA